This 253-nucleotide ribosomal RNA is filed under the name uncultured bacterium. Its description in RNAcentral is "partial 16S ribosomal RNA". It matches the Rfam family "Bacterial small subunit ribosomal RNA", at positions 524 to 776 of the family's 1533-position model. The record is from RNAcentral.
UACGAGAGGCCCAAACGUUAUUCGGAGUUACUGGGCUUAAAGAGUUCGUAGGCGGCGCAGAAAGUAGGGUGUGAAAGCCCUCGGCUCAACCGAGGAAUUGCGCUCUAAACUACUGUGCUUGAGGAAGCUAGAGGUGAGCGGAACUGAUGGUGGAGCGGUGAAAUGCGUUGAUAUCAUCAGGAACACCGGAGGCGAAGGCGGCUCACUGGGGCUUUUCUGACGCUGAGGAACGAAAGCCAGGGGAGCGAACGGG